CAGUAGCCGGGUAAAACGUAGGUCCCGAGCGUUGUCCGGAUUUAUUGGGCGUAAAGCGAGCGCAGGCGGUUAGAUAAGUCUGAAGUUAAAGGCUGUGGCUUAACCAUAGUACGCUUUGGAAACUGUUUAACUUGAGUGCGAGAGGGGAGAGUGGAAUUCUAUGUGUAGCGGUGAAAUGCGUAGAUAUAUGGAGGAACACCGGUGGCGAAAGCGGCUCUCUGGCUUGUAACUGACGCUGAGGCACGAAAGCGUGGGGAGCAAACAGGAUUAGAUACCCCAGUAGUCCCUGUCUCUUAUACAC
Molecule: ribosomal RNA, 301 nt
Filed under: uncultured bacterium
Lineage: Bacteria
Description: partial 16S ribosomal RNA
Rfam family: Bacterial small subunit ribosomal RNA
Source: RNAcentral